UACGUAGGAUGCGAGCGUUGUUCGGAAUCACUGGGCGUAAAGCGUACGUAGGCGGUAAAUUGAGUCUGCUAUUAAAGCCCGGGGCUUAACUCCGGGAAUGUAUCAGAAACUGGUUUGCUAGAGGUUAGUAGAGGGAAUCGGAAUUCUCAGUGUAGCGGUGAAAUGCGUAGAUAUUGGGAAGAACACCGGUGGCGAAAGCGGAUUUCUGGGCUAAUACUGACGCUGAGGUACGAAAGCGUGGGGAGCAAACGGG
This 253-nucleotide ribosomal RNA is filed under the name uncultured bacterium. RNAcentral's name for it is "partial 16S ribosomal RNA". It matches the Rfam family "Bacterial small subunit ribosomal RNA", at positions 524 to 776 of the family's 1533-position model. The record is from RNAcentral.